Thunnus maccoyii (southern bluefin tuna) is the source of this 1183-nucleotide long non-coding RNA. RefSeq lists it as uncharacterized. The record is from RefSeq and is a predicted model, not a curated record. The transcript has 3 exons. NCBI's taxonomy places the organism in Eukaryota, Metazoa, Chordata, Actinopteri, Scombriformes, Scombridae.
AGAGUGGAGGAACAAGAAUAGGUAAAUGAAGAUAGAAUGUGUGGAAUGAAGCUGCUUUGGCUACAGCCGCUGGAAAGAUUCAAUGGUAUUACAAAUACAAGAGAAAGAUAUUUUAUUGAAGAAGAUGAAACAAAAACAAAAGGAGCAAAACUGAGAAGAAGACUCAAGUCUUGUUACCAGACAAAAGGGAGCAGCUUUGGAAUGAUUUUGUUUGGAAACAUGGAUCAAGGAAGACCAGUUGGUGGGGAAAGAAGAGUGGCAGGGAGAAGGAGAAUGCGUGGAGGACAAAGGAGAGGAACGCCAAGAGCAGUGGUCUCUGAUGAGAUAAAGGCCUCAGUUAUUGACUAUGUUGUAAACCAUGAUCUCUCUUUGAGAGAGGCCGGUUUAAGGGUGCAAACAAAUCUGCAGCGUUCAACAGUUGCAUCAAUAGUACAAAUUUUCCAGCAAAACAACAGCAGGAUCCAAAGGUUGCCUCCAACAGACGGGGGAGGCAGAAUAUUUUCAGAUGCGUAGGAAAUUGCCAUCGUUGACAUGGUAAUUGGCAACAAUGCAAUAAAACUAUUUGGGACAGAGUGCUGGCAGACAAUAUCACUUUUGGAAAUGUGAAUACGGUCAGCACAAUGGCACUUGCCAGAGUCCUAGAGAAACAUAAAAUAAGAAUGAAGCAGUUGUACACUGUACUCUUUGAGAGAAAUGGUGAAUGUGUGAAAACUCCGGUAUCAAUAUGUCCAGGUAAGAUGUCUAUUCAAUAAGGGUACAUUCACAGCUAUGCAUAAUGUAUGAUUUAUUGUAUUUUAGAGAGUAAUGGUGAUGAAAGCCAUGCAAACUGCACAUACAGUGUGUGCAGCACAGUGCAAUGAUGGUUUACUGUUACACAAACCUCUCAUUGGCCCCUGCAAUACAGACAGGCUAAUUUCUUUUCGGUAUGACCUACAUAAUCGACUUGUGCCAGCGGAGGAGAGAGGAGUAAGAAACUCCCCUACCUUCGUUGUUAUGUGGGAUAAUGUGACAUUCCACCACUCUGCUGUUGGUUUGCUGGAUGUCAGUACUAUUCCAGCCUUUUUUGCUCUGCAUGGAGGUGGAAGGUUUAUGACCACCAUCCACAUGACCAGAUGUCCUUAUUGGAUGCCAUCAAUGCAGGGUGUGCAGACACUUCUGAAGACUGCCAGGGUUGGUUUAGACA